This 586-nucleotide ribosomal RNA is filed under the name uncultured bacterium. RNAcentral's name for it is "bacterial SSU rRNA". It matches the Rfam family "Bacterial small subunit ribosomal RNA", at positions 330 to 929 of the family's 1533-position model. The record is from RNAcentral.
CCCAGACUCCUACGGGAGGCAGCAGUAAGGGAUCUUGCGACAAUGGGCGAAAGCCUGACGCAGCAACGCCGCGUGCGGGAGGACGGCCUUCGGGUUGUAAACCGCUUUUCGGGGGGAAGAGGAAGGACGGUACCCCCGGAAGAAGUCUCGGCUAACUACGUGCCAGCAGCCGCGGUAAAACGUAGGAGGCGAGCGUUAUCCGGAUUUACUGGGUGUAAAGCGCGUGUAGGCGGUCCUGCAAGUGGUGCGUGAAAGCGCCCGGCUCAACCGGGCGAGGACGUGGGCGAACUGCAGGGCUAGAGGCAGGUAGAGGCGUGUGGAAUUCCGGGUGUAGUGGUGAAAUGCGUAGAGAUCCGGAGGAACACCAGUGGCGAAGGCGACACGCUGGGCCUGGCCUGACGCUGAGAGGCGAAAGCAUGGGGAGCGAACGGGAUUAGAAACCCCGGUAGUCCAUGCCGUAAACGAUGCUGACUAGGUGUGGCGGGUAUGAACUCCUGCCGUGCCGGAGCCAACGUGGUAAGUCAGCCACCUGGGGACUACGGCCGCAAGGUUAAAACUCAAAGGAAUUGACGGAAUCCCGCGGCCA